RNAcentral lists this long non-coding RNA (1343 nucleotides) under Medicago truncatula (barrel medic). RNAcentral's name for it is "long non-coding RNA (MTRU_LNC000823)". Lineage: Eukaryota; Viridiplantae; Streptophyta; Magnoliopsida; Fabales; Fabaceae. The record is from RNAcentral.
CCAUUGAUUUCAUUUGAUCAAAAGGCUAAUAAAUGAAAACUUAAAAGUAUCAUGUAUCAUAUUUAUUGUGAUUUUCAUUUCCUAAUUUAUUCCUCCAGAUUCUCUCUUCUCAUAAUGAGAUUGUAACGAAUUCAUAUUGUGACUUAUUUAAAUGAACUGGAUGCUUUGAGUUCAAAUAUGACUUUUUGUUUGAGAGUUUGUAUAGCUUUCAAUUCACUAGCAUAUCAAUUGCCAUUAACAUUGUCAAUUUGCAAAGGAAUUCAAGUAUUCAAUUGCAAAUUUAAUUCAACCUGAAUUGAUGGAAGCAAUUGACGUUUUACUGAAAAAACAAAAAUUUUUCAUGUAUACGUUCAUAGAUAAAUUAAUGUAAAUGUCACUAGAUGAUGUAUACGAUUAUUUCAUUUUUGUUUAUGUGAACUAUUUUUAUUUGAGUGCAAGUAAAUUCAGUUUAUCUCACACCCAUCCACUACGUAAUUUUUAUUGGAGUGCAAGUAAAUUUAGUUUAUCUCACACCCAUCCAUUACGGAAAUAUGAAAUACAAUGAAGAAAAUUUGUGAAAAAAUGGUAAAAAAUAAAAUAAAAAUGAGCAUGAUAAAAUGAUUUGGAAAUUGAUAAUAAGAGAAAGAGAAAGAUAGGAUAAACAAAGAGGAAUAAAGAGACGGAAGAAGAUGAAGGGGAUGAAGAAAGAGGAGAGGAUAAUGGCCCAAACAAAUUAGGAAAUUGCAAAUACUGAUGGAGAAAACCAAUGAAACAAAUUAGGAAAUGAAAAUCAUAAAAAGAUAUACUACAUUAUACUCUUAGGUGGUUUACAUGAUAUUUUAAAUGAACAAAUAUAAGCCUUCAGAUUAAAAGAAAUCAACGCUUAAAAUUUGGUAUCAACGAAUCUAUUGACACCUGGUGUCAACGAAUCCUGACUCUCUCUCUCUCUCUAUAUAUAUAUAUAUAUAUAUAUUAUAAAUUAGAUAUAUUAAUUAAUCAAUAAUUAAUUAUUUUUUUUUACUUAUAAUAGUAACUGAGUAACCUAAUGGACAUGAAUAUCUAAAGAGAGACUCAUUAUAUCAAGGAAGUGAAGACUAUAACAGGAGAUAUUUAAAAAGCAAAAUACAACGAUCCAUUCUGGCUUGAACAAUGUAUUUUCAUCUAAAUUAUUUUUUGGAGUGCCUUUAGAAUUCCUCUUAAGAUAUUUCACUAAACAACUCACUUGUUGUAACUAUUUUAUGUUUACAUACGUGAACAAGAUUGAGAAAGAGAUCUUAAGUUAGAUCCAGAACAACUAAUAUAACAACUAAACUUGCUAACAUCUAGAAAAAUAAAAUGAAAUUGAUAAAUAAAAACGAUUUAUA